This 465-nucleotide ribosomal RNA is filed under the name Vreelandella stevensii. Its description in RNAcentral is "partial 16S ribosomal RNA". It matches the Rfam family "Bacterial small subunit ribosomal RNA", at positions 338 to 795 of the family's 1533-position model. The record is from RNAcentral. Lineage: Bacteria; Pseudomonadati; Pseudomonadota; Gammaproteobacteria; Oceanospirillales; Halomonadaceae.
CCUACGGGGUGCAGCAGUGGGGAAUAUUGGACAAUGGGCGAAAGCCUGAUCCAGCCAUGCCGCGUGUGUGAAGAAGGCCUUCGGGUUGUAAAGCACUUUCAGUGGGGAAGAAAGCCUUGGGGCUAAUACCCUCGAGGAAGGACAUCACCCACAGAAGAAGCACCGGCUAACUCCGUGCCAGCAGCCGCGGUAAUACGGAGGGUGCGAGCGUUAAUCGGAAUUACUGGGCGUAAAGCGCGCGUAGGCGGUCUGAUAAGCCGGUUGUGAAAGCCCCGGGCUCAACCUGGGAACGGCAUCCGGAACUGUCAGGCUAGAGUGCAGGAGAGGAAGGUAGAAUUCCCGGUGUAGCGGUGAAAUGCGUAGAGAUCGGGAGGAAUACCAGUGGCGAAGGCGGCCUUCUGGACUGACACUGACGCUGAGGUGCGAAAGCGUGGGUAGCAAACAGGAUUAGAUCCCCCAGUAGUC